GUCAUGCAUCUCUAAUCACAUGCCCACAAGCAGCACCUGCCUGACAGGUGUGCUGGAGAAUACAUGAACUGCUCUGGCACUAAGAAUACAGCAAGGCCUCUGACCUCUUACAUUAGUGUGGGGGAGAUGCCAACAGAUCAGUCAACAGAUAAAAAACACACAACAUCAUAUUUUGAUAGUGUCAAGUGCUCCAAAGAAAAUAAACCCGAGUAAUGAGAUAAGUAAUGACAAGUGGGGUGGAGGGUAUAGUCAAUGGUAGCCAGGGGAGAUGGCAUUUGAGUUUAGAUUUAAAGGUCAAGAAGGAUCCUGGCAUGCCAUAUCUGAAAGAAGAGUUCCUGAAGCAGCAGGACAGGAGGUGCAAAGGUCCUGAGGCAAGAGUGAGCAUGGCCUAUUAGAGUCCAUAAAUGACACCUGCCCUUCAGGUGUGUGGGAGAUACCGGAACUGUCUGGGGCAUCAUUGCAAAUGAAGCCUGAUGUGUAAGAAGUGUCUUAUGAGAGGACUGCCCCGAUCUCUACAGGAUGGUUCAGAGAAGUGAGGACAACAAAAAAGAGCUGAAGCAGGAUAAAGCUUGGCAAGAGACCUAAAGGGAGCCACGCACCCCUCCAGGCUGACCUUGCCUUCUGGGUUGGCUUAGCAGUGACAUGCAAACUGAUGUGUUAAAACUCUUAUCCUGUGGAGAGGCUCAAUGUACAAGGAGCAGAGGCCCUCAGUCAAACAUCCUAUAAGAAACUGAAUCCCGACAACAACCAUAGCACGCCUAGAAGUGGAUCAUCUCCAUCCCCAAGGACACCUCUACUAUAGCUUGCAACAGUCUGGGUCUUUGUAUAUGCUGCGUCAGACUGGGACCAUCCUUCAUACUUUUUAGGUCUGCUAAACUUCCACCUGUCCUCCGGGAUACCAGACCAGAUGUCUCUUCCUCCAGGGAGCCCUCUUUGAUUGCCUUCCUCUGUGCUCCCAUAACACAUCACCAUCCCACUGCAUAUCACAUUUGUAAAGGAUGGUAACGAUCUUGUAAAGGAAGGACAACAUGCCUGCUCUUUCAGUGUCGGUGGACGAUGAGGCCAGGGCCCAUGGACUCCACGCACACACGGUGGGACCAGCCACACCCACUUCUAAUGGGGACAGACCAGCAGGCACUACGGGGAGGAAAGCAAGGAGAAUAUUUAUUUGAAUUCUGCAAGACUGAAUCAUAAGCUCUUGGACUAAAAGAAAAAGCACAUUCUUACCACUGAGGUAGCACUGUGUUGUCAUUAAUUCAGAAGCCCCUUUCAGAAGCUCCACAGGACACAAACCAGAACAAUCACAGAUUCUCUCAGCUGCAGGUUCUAAAUGGAGUAUAUGAGAAAGGGGUUUCUGUAAUGCCAGCAUAUGCCCAGCCUUUGCUUAGCCACAUAGUCAGGCUCAACCUGCUCUGGCCCAAUGCCGGUGAACAAGCAGCAGACAAUCCAUCACGACCCCUUCUCUAGUCAAGUAGAAAUAGCCUGCAGCCCCCUCACCCUCAU
Molecule: long non-coding RNA, 1503 nt
Organism: Talpa occidentalis (Iberian mole)
Lineage: Eukaryota; Metazoa; Chordata; Mammalia; Eulipotyphla; Talpidae
Exons: 6
Source: RefSeq, a predicted model, not a curated record